GACGAACGCUGGCGGCGUGCUUAACACAUGCAAGUCGAACGCACGGCCUUGGGGUUUUCUUGGGGUUGGUGAGUGGCGAACGGGUGAGUAACACGUGAGUAACCUGCCCCCUUCUUUGGGAUAACGGUCGGAAACGGCUGCUAAUACUGGAUAUUCUGCUUCUGCCGCAUGGUGGGGGUUGGAAAGAUUUUUUUGGAUGGGGAUGGGCUCACGGCCUAUCAGCUUGUUGGUGGGGUGAUGGCCUACCAAGGCGUCGACGGGUAGCCGGCCUGAGAGGGUGACCGGCCACAUUGGGACUGAGAUACGGCCCAG
RNAcentral lists this ribosomal RNA (312 nucleotides) under uncultured bacterium. Its description in RNAcentral is "bacterial SSU rRNA". It matches the Rfam family "Bacterial small subunit ribosomal RNA", at positions 28 to 334 of the family's 1533-position model. The record is from RNAcentral.